UGAGGAAUAUUGCGCAAUGGAGGCAACUCUGACGCAGCCAUGCCGCGUGCAGGAAGAAGGCGCUACGCGUUGUAAACUGCUUUUAACCGGGAAGAAACCCCAGGACGUGUCCUGGGUUGACGGUACCGGAGGAAUAAGCACCGGCUAACUUCGUGCCAGCAGCCGCGGUAAUACGAAGGGUGCAAGCGUUAUCCGGAUUCAUUGGGUUUAAAGGGUGCGUAGGUGGGGCGUUAAGUCAGUGGUGAAAGCCCGCAGCUCAACUGUGGAAUUGCCAUUGAUACUGGCGCUCUUGAGUGCGCUUGAAGUAGGCGGAAUGUGCCGUGUAGCGGUGAAAUGCUUAGAUAUGGCACAGAACACCAAUUGCGAAGGCAGCUUACUAAGGCGAUACUGACGCUGAGGCAC
Molecule: ribosomal RNA, 402 nt
Filed under: uncultured bacterium
Lineage: Bacteria
Description: bacterial SSU rRNA
Rfam family: Bacterial small subunit ribosomal RNA
Source: RNAcentral